AAUUUGCGAAAGUAGUAAAUGGUAAAAGUGAAUAAAUAGAAUCAAGGUUAAAAGCUUACUUGUAUGCAUAAGAAGAUAACUCCCUCCUCUUUACUUUUGCUUAAAAACAGAUUCUGAGAUUCGGGACUAGCAUCGGUAAUAUAAGUUUUUCUUUCAUACUGUUGAGUACUAGCAUCAGAACCCUUAAUGGUAGGAAGAUCAUCAUCAUGACUACGCCUUUGUUCAAUCGAGUAAACAUUUGCUGGUUCGUGCCAGUCACACUGAGAACAACAAAGUACCUAUUAUUAAAAAUGUUAGCAAGCGAUCGCUAACAAGUUGAAAAGUAAACACCUCCAACUAUUCCAUGGAAAGCAUGUAACAAUGAAGAUCAAUGAAUGGCUAUUAGCUUAACAAACUUGUAAACUCAAAACAGACUAACAACGUUUGUCAGGCACUAAGAGCAAUAAUGGAACAGACUUCAUAUCAAACGCUUUCUUGAAUGUUCUUACCUUAUUCGUAUAAACCGGAAGAACAGGCACAAUGAGAACCGUUACGGUUUUCAACUGACGACAUACUCGGACUAAAAACAAAAUGUUAUGUUAACAUUAAUAAGACAAGUUUAAAAAAAAAAAGAAAGAGCCAAUUGCUUUCGAAACUACUCAACUUGUUUAUUUCUCGUACCAGUCUUCUUUGAACUAAAAAAAAAAAAAAAGCAUUAGCAAAAUGUGUUGUCAAACGGAUAAAAAGAGAACAGGAAGAAGAUUGCUGGAAACAAUUUUAAAACA
This is a non-coding RNA of Schizosaccharomyces pombe (fission yeast), 764 nucleotides long. The record is from the annotation of a GenBank genome assembly. Lineage: Eukaryota; Fungi; Ascomycota; Schizosaccharomycetes; Schizosaccharomycetales; Schizosaccharomycetaceae.